This 384-nucleotide long non-coding RNA is filed under the name Cyanistes caeruleus (blue tit). RNAcentral describes it as "lncRNA (ENSCCEG00000004952.1)". Lineage: Eukaryota; Metazoa; Chordata; Aves; Passeriformes; Paridae. The record is from RNAcentral.
UCCAUCUCGGAGCAGAAGGAGAUGCUGCAAUCCUCAUCUUGCCAUUGGGUGGAAUCUGGUUUUGUUGCUGCUUCUGUCAUAGAAAGAUGACAGAAAGGAAGAGAAUGACUAGAAGGGAAUGGGCAGUGGCUGGCUUCCUUCACUGGAAAGGAAGCAAGGGCUAUUCCAUUAGCCUCCUACAAUGUGGGAGAAAUAAUCGCUUAUGAUCAGGAGAGUAGGCACUGAUAUCAUGGCCUCUUGUUAUCCUGCUCCAGGAUGAAAUGUUUCUCUUUCUUUUGCCACAUAAAAAGGAAGGAUCAGGGAGUUGUUUGGGUUUGUGCCCUGCCUGGAGACAGCAAUAUAUUCCAGCCAUUCAGAUGAGAGACUUGCUGAUGAGCACGUGGG